GCUCAGUUGGUAAAGUACAAAGCUCUUAACCUUGUGGACGUGGGUUCAAGCCCCAU
This is a non-coding RNA of Triticum aestivum (bread wheat), 56 nucleotides long. The record is from Rfam. NCBI's taxonomy places the organism in Eukaryota, Viridiplantae, Streptophyta, Magnoliopsida, Poales, Poaceae.